UACGUAGGUGGGCGAGCGUUGUCCGGAUUUACUGGGCGUAAAGGGCUGUGGCAGGGCGGUUUGUUAAGUGCAGGGUGAAAGCUCCCGGCUCAAACUGGGAGGAGGUCCUUGCAUACUGGCGAACUCGAGGGAGGCAGAGGAAAGUGGAAUUCCCGGUGUAGUGGUGAUAUGCGUAGAUAUCGGGAGGAACACCUGUGGCGAAGGCGGCGUUUCUGGGCCGUUACCUGACGCUGAGACGCGAAAGCGUGGGGAGCGA
RNAcentral lists this ribosomal RNA (256 nucleotides) under uncultured bacterium. RNAcentral's name for it is "partial 16S ribosomal RNA". It matches the Rfam family "Bacterial small subunit ribosomal RNA", at positions 524 to 771 of the family's 1533-position model. The record is from RNAcentral.